Molecule: long non-coding RNA, 1491 nt
Filed under: Homo sapiens (human)
Lineage: Eukaryota; Metazoa; Chordata; Mammalia; Primates; Hominidae
Description: non-protein coding lnc-SEC24C-3:1
Source: RNAcentral
CUGGCCGGGAGUUAGGAGAGCUGGGCACUAGGAACGCUUUGAAACCGAACAGCUGUGUGAUUUCCGAGGUUAUGUUGCUUCUCUACUAUAUUUUAGUUCCGAACUUGUACUAAUGUUUCUCUCAAAAAGGCAGAAAAAAGAGACCGGCGCCUGGACGACUUUCAGGGGAGAGCUGGAAGAAAGACUGUCAACAGCUGAGUGCGGGCGCCGGCGCCGUCUACGCAGUGCGUUCCACCGGGUCCGUAUCCCUCCCGAUUCCGCCCCACCCCGCCCUCGGAACUCGCUGCCUCAACUCCUGCGGUGGGACUCCGGAGCAGCGUACACCGCCCUUGCCUUAGUCCUCCCCAAGGCCAGGGCAGCUGUGCGGCCUGGCGCGGGUUACUUGGUGUGGUGCAAAAAGCCAGAAGGAGACACAUUUGGUCCUGGCCACCCCGGAGUCACCCAAACCAAAAGCAUUGAUGUGAGUGUAGAUGAAGUAAAAACUUUGGCUUCCCUGAUGACAUACAAGUGUGCAGUGGUUGGUAAGUGAUCGCCUUUCUUGCUACCUAAUGAGAACUCUGGGGAAAUAUGUUUACUCACAUGGUUACUGUUAAGAUGCUAUAGAAAUAUACCUUAUCAGAACUGAUUUUUUUUAAGUUGUCCUCUUUAAGACCUGCAUCAUUUUUCAAGAUAAUGAAUUGGAAAAGAUCACAAGGAGGUUCACCAUGGAGCUAGCAAAGAAGGGCUUUAUUGUGUGGCCACAUAGAUUUUGGUAUAAAGUGGGAACAUCUAAAAAAAUCUUUUUUUUUUUUUUUUGAGACAGAGUCUUGCUCUGUCGCCAAGAUUGGAGUGUAGUGGUGCGAUCUCCUCCACCUCCCGGGUUCAAGCAAUUCUCUUGUCUAAGCCUCCCGAGUAGCUGAGACUAUAGGCAUGUGCCACCAUGCCCAGCUAAUUUUCGUAUUUUUAUAGAGAUGGGGUUUUGCCAUGUUGAUCAGGCUGGUCUUGAACUCUUGACCUCAGGUGAUCCACCCAUCUCAGAAUCCCAAAGUGCUGGGAUUACAGGCGUGAGCCACUAUGCCCGGCCUCCUACUAUUUGUAAUAGGAGAUAGGGUCAGAUAAGGGAAUAAAAGCAGGCUGCCCCAGCCAGGGGCAGCAACCAGCUCAGGUCCCCUUCCACACUGUGGAGGCUUUGUUUUUUUGCGCUUUGCAAUAAAUCUUGCUGCUGCUCACUCUUUGGGUCCGCACUGCCUUUAUGAGCUCUAACACUCAUCGCGAAGGUCUGCAGCUUCAUUCUUGAAGUCAGUGAGACGAAGAACCCACCAAUUCCGGACACAGAAGUGUCUUCAUUUAAAAAAAUUUUUUAAGUGCACUGAAAAAGCAUCACAUAUUCUAGCCUCGUAAUAAUGCUCCCUUUUUGGAGAUCCCAGGAAUCAGUGUGGGCUCUGCCCAGAGCUCAGAGAUCUAGUAAAAAGACAGAUAGUUCCUAUAUAAAUAAAAUUGGUCUCCUCAUAU